AGUGAACGCUGGCGGUAGGCCUAACACAUGCAAGUCGAACGGCAGCACAGUAAGAGCUUGCUCUUACGGGUGGCGAGUGGCGGACGGGUGAGGAAUACAUCGGAAUCUACUUUUUCGUGGGGGAUAACGUAGGGAAACUUACGCUACUACCGCAUACGACCUACGGGUGAAAGCAGGGGAUCUUCGGACCUUGCGCGAUUGAAUGAGCCGAUGUCGGAUUAGCUAGUUGGCGGGGUAAAGGCCCACCAAGGCGACGAUCCGUAGCUGGUCUGAGAGGAUGAUCAGCCACACUUGAACUGAGACACGGUCCAGACUCCUACGGGAGGCAGCAGUGGGGAAUAUUGGACAAUGGGCGCAAGCCUGAUCCAGCCAUACCGCGUGGGUGAAGAAGGCCUUCGGGUUGUAAAGCCCUUUUGUUGGGAAAGAAAAGCAGCAGGUUAAUACCCCGCUGUUCUGACGGUACCCAAAGAAUAAGCACCGGCUAACUUCGUG
RNAcentral lists this ribosomal RNA (492 nucleotides) under uncultured bacterium. RNAcentral's name for it is "partial 16S ribosomal RNA". It matches the Rfam family "Bacterial small subunit ribosomal RNA", at positions 29 to 507 of the family's 1533-position model. The record is from RNAcentral.